GGAAUGUGGUUGUGGAUCAAGUCAAAGUAGGAAUUAGUUUGGAUUUCAAAUUCUAUGAGAUAGAAUUUUAGGAAACCAAAACUCUUUCCUUAUGGCUCUGAUUUUACCCAGAUUUUUUUUGAUAUUUUUAUGACUUUUAUGGCACAUAUUGUGUGCUCUUUGCUGGUGGUUCAAGAUAAAAAAAAGAGAGAGGGUGCCCAUG
RNAcentral lists this long non-coding RNA (202 nucleotides) under Elaeis guineensis (African oil palm). RNAcentral's name for it is "long non-coding RNA (EGUI_LNC070605)". Lineage: Eukaryota; Viridiplantae; Streptophyta; Magnoliopsida; Arecales; Arecaceae. The record is from RNAcentral.